CCCUCAUUGAAAAAGACGUUACCUGGACAAUCCGAAAAAAAAGGCACAAGUCAAGUAUCUAUCAGAUUCAGAACAUAACAUUAAAGUAGGUUGGGAAGCUCAUCAUUUGUCAAAGUUUGGAUUUAGAAGGUAGCAUAUUUUCUAUGCCAGUCAUGGUAGGAUACAGAGAGUAUGAAGUCAAGUCACCUUUUGUUAUUGGUCCCAACAAUCUGGAUGCAUUACUAACCACAACCCCCCACCCACACCCAUUUUCCACAGUAACAGGUUUAAUUUCACCCAUGGACACUUGACACUAAAUUUCAACAGAGUUGCUGAACAAUAAUUUGUAUUCGCAAAAUCAUUCAACUUUGAUUUUGUUUCAAUAAGGACGCUAUCGCCAAAAUUUUGUGUUCACCAAAUAAGAAAUUCUGAAAGUCUAUUUUUAUGUUAGAACACACACACACACAUUAGGUUAUCAUUUAAAAGAUCCAGCUGAAAUUCCACCUAUCAAAAUCUAACAGUAAUGAUCUUACUGAAACAAAAUUAAAGUUAAGUUAUUUUAGGAAUACAAAUUGAAGUUCAGUGACUAAACUCACCUCGGAUGAAAUCAAGCCUAUUGCAACUUUUUUUGAGAUAUUCAUAUUACAUAUCCUAGUUUGUAUUGAACAGCCAUUGUCAUAGUGAACAGAAACUAGGGAAUUCCAAUUAGAACAUCAGUCCUAAUUAGUCUGUUUUUCGCCUUUGAAAAACUUCAUUUCCCAAAUACAAGACUUUAUAAAAGAACUUAUGAAAGUAAUAACACAGUGCAAAAUAAAAAUUGUUGACAAGGGAAAAGAAGUCGAAAUCCUAUCAUAUCAUUAUCACAUGCCAAUAUUUGUAAUAAUCCUCGUAACUGUAAGCAAUGCACAGCUAUCAAAUUAUAAAUAAACAAGAGAUUUCAUAUAAUUUCUGACAAGAAAGAAUGCAAGCAGUUGAAACUUGAAACAAAUCUAAUGAAGAGUUUACAAGGCAAUCAUAAUUCCUGACCUUUUCAAUAUCAACCAAACUG
This 1027-nucleotide unclassified non-coding RNA is filed under the name Hevea brasiliensis (rubber tree). The record is from RNAcentral. Lineage: Eukaryota; Viridiplantae; Streptophyta; Magnoliopsida; Malpighiales; Euphorbiaceae.